GAUGAACGCUGGCGGCGUGCCUAAUACAUGCAAGUCGAGCGGACAGAUCUGGUUUUUGCUCCUCUUUCGUUAUCGUCGGAUGGGUGAGUAACGCGUGACUAGCCUACCUUCUAGCCUCAGCUUACUUCUAAAAACCGGAGCUUAUGCCUGAUUAUCUAUUGAACCGCAUGGUUCAAUCUUUGAUGGCGGAUUUUCUUUUACUUGUUGAGGGUUCCGCGCCGCAUUAGCUGGUUGUUAAGGUAACGGCUUACUAAGGCAACGAUGGGUAGCCGCCGUGAGAGGGUGAUCGGCCACGCUGGAACUGAGACACGGUCCAGACUCAGACGGGAGGCAGCAGUAGGGAAUGGUAAGAAAUGGGCGAAAGCCGGACGGAGAAACGGCGAGGGAGUGAUGAAGGUCAUCGGAUAGUAAAACUCAGUUAUUAGGGAAGAACAAAUGUGUAAGUAACUAUGAACGUCGUGACGGUACUGAAUGAGAAAGCCACGGCUAACUACGUG
This 497-nucleotide ribosomal RNA is filed under the name uncultured bacterium. RNAcentral's name for it is "partial 16S ribosomal RNA". It matches the Rfam family "Bacterial small subunit ribosomal RNA", at positions 28 to 507 of the family's 1533-position model. The record is from RNAcentral.